UACGUAGGGUCCGAGCGUUGUCCGGAAUCAUUGGGCGUAAAGAGCUCGUAGGCGGUUUGGUAAGUCGGGUGUGAAAUCUCCACGCUCAACGUGGAGGGGCCACUCGAUACUGCCAUGACUCGAGUCCGGUAGAGGAGUGUGGAAUUCCCGGUGUAGCGGUGAAAUGCGCAGAUAUCGGGAGGAACACCCGUAGCGAAGGCGGCACUCUGGGCCGGAACUGACGCUGAGGAGCGAAAGCGUGGGGAGCAAACAGG
RNAcentral lists this ribosomal RNA (254 nucleotides) under uncultured bacterium. RNAcentral's name for it is "partial 16S ribosomal RNA". It matches the Rfam family "Bacterial small subunit ribosomal RNA", at positions 524 to 776 of the family's 1533-position model. The record is from RNAcentral.